AUGGACUGGUACGCGUGGCUGUCGAAGGCGGGGCUGACGUCGGCGGCGACGUACCAGUACGGGCUGCUCUUCAGCGAGAACGAGCUGGAGCCCGGGGACGCGCCGGACUUCGACCACGACCUGCUCAAGAGCAUGGGCAUCGCCGUCGCCAAGCACCGCCUCGAGAUCCUCAAGCUCGCCAGGAAGGACGCCGCCGCCGCCGCCGCGUCCCAGUCCUCCUCCUCCGCGGCCGCCCGGCUCGCGCGCAGGGCCGGCAGGUGCAUCGCCCGGUGCGCGCGCCGGCUGGGCGGUGGCGCCGGCGGUCCCGGAGGGAGGCGGUACUCCUCGUCCUCCGUCACCGUGGUGCCGAGGAUCUGCAACGGCGCGGCGGGGGACGUGGUGGUCCGCGCCGGCGCCGUGCGGCGGAGGAGCAGCGUCAAGAAGAUGGUGCUCAUGAUCACCGACGGCGGCGUCGCCAGCGGCGUUGGCGGCGGCGGCGGCGUCCGGUUCUCGGGCUCGCAGAAGGCCAGCCUCAUGUUCCAGGACUGCGCGUACGAGGACGAGGAGGACGACGGCGCCGGCGAGGAGGACGAGGAGCGGUGCUCCGACGGCGGCACCGCCGGAGGCCAGAGCGAGAUCAAGUGGGACUCCAUGUUCCAGGACCUCAAGCCGACGUGA
RNAcentral lists this ribosomal RNA (657 nucleotides) under Triticum aestivum (bread wheat). Its description in RNAcentral is "partial small subunit ribosomal RNA". The record is from RNAcentral. Lineage: Eukaryota; Viridiplantae; Streptophyta; Magnoliopsida; Poales; Poaceae.